RNAcentral lists this long non-coding RNA (264 nucleotides) under Sus scrofa (pig). RNAcentral describes it as "lncRNA (ENSSSCG00015063153.1)". Lineage: Eukaryota; Metazoa; Chordata; Mammalia; Artiodactyla; Suidae. The record is from RNAcentral.
GAGCGGGUGUCUGGAGGAAGGGCCUGGGGUUUGGCUGACCGGGGCCACGCAGCAUUUCCCUGGGUCUCCCCAGAGACCCGGGGUGGGUCCUGGGUAUUGAUGAGAAAGUGACCCAGAGCUGGAGGAAGAAGUGGGGGAAAUGACAGCUUCUCAGGGACUUCUGACAAUCGAGAAUGCGGCCAUUGAUUUCUCUUCAGAGGAGUGCAAAUGUUUGGACCUCAGUCAAUGGGAAUUGUACAGAGAUGUGAUGUUAGAGAUCUGUAG